Small nucleolar RNA from Ailuropoda melanoleuca (giant panda), 142 nucleotides. Its record names the gene U3. It matches the Rfam family "Small nucleolar RNA U3". Rfam says of the family: Small nucleolar RNAs (snoRNAs) are involved in the processing and modification of rRNA in the nucleolus. The record is from Ensembl. Lineage: Eukaryota; Metazoa; Chordata; Mammalia; Carnivora; Ursidae.
AUAACUAUACUUUUAGGGAUCAUUUCUAUAGUUUGUUUUUUCACAUUCUAAACUACAUGUUCAUGGUGUCUUAAAAGCCAAUUCCACAUUAAGGGAGUAUGAUUUCAGGUAUCAUUCCAAAGUAAAGAGUUGCCUCUGUGGC